RNAcentral lists this long non-coding RNA (3302 nucleotides) under Mus musculus (house mouse). Its description in RNAcentral is "long non-coding RNA chr15:80915915-80919217". Lineage: Eukaryota; Metazoa; Chordata; Mammalia; Rodentia; Muridae. The record is from RNAcentral.
AAAGCCACAGGAAUACCCUUGGGAACACAGUGACAGAGGAUUUUCUCUUUUCUGUAUGUGAGGCCCUGGGCUCAGAAAUGCAGUUCAUUGCUGGCGUGCUGGCAAAGACCUUGUGCAGGAAUUCCACUUCAUUGCCUUGGAAUUUAAAGCAGUUGUAGAUGGCUUUCUCUCCAGUGGACUCUGCACACUGCCAAUUCCAGAUAACCCAAGCUCAACCAGCCUUUAAGAGCUGGGUUAAGAAGCAUCAAUAGAAAGAUCACUUAAAACUGUCCAAGACUCUAAAUUUGUUCAGUUCUUCUCAUUUUUUACUUUUGAAUAAUUAGCUUAGAAAUCUCUUAGAUACUGUGCUUUGUACUUUUGUAUAUGUUUCACUGGUUUUAUAGGACUAUAGAAUUUCAGAUUGAAAGGGCUUUUCUAGAAUGAGAACACUCGUGUGGGCUUAGGUGAGAAAUGGAGAAGCUCAGAGAGGUGAGCCGAGUCAUCACGGCCGUGCUUUUAUUAAUGGUUGCCCAAAGUUCUUUAUUCCUGUGUGGGUGGGUGGUUUUUAGUUUGCUUGUAUGUCUGUGCACAUGUGCAUGCCUAUUCCCAACACAGGUCAUAAGAGGGCAUCAGACCCCCUGGAACUGGUGUUUCAGACAGCUGGAAGCUGCCAUGUAGGUGUUGGAAUCAAACCUGGGCCCUCUGAAAAACAGCCAGUGGUCUGAACUUCUGAGCCAACUCUCUACCCCUGGCGCUCUCUCUUAGUCAAUUAUUUCUUUCUUUUCUCAGGCGCUAUAGUGGCCCCUGGUAAGACCCGAGGAGGUUCACCAUACAACCAGUUUGAUAUAAUCCCAGGUGACACACUGGGUGGCCAUACGGGUCCUGCUGGUGAUAGCUGGUUACCUGCCAAAUCUCCACCGACUAAUAAAAUCGGAAGUAAAUCCAGCAAUGCCAGUUGGCCUCCAGGUAUUGUUCAUAAACUGCCUUUCCUAGAAUAGUUCAAUGACAUUCAGGCUCUGAACACACCUCUUGUACAGCUCACUGUACUGAGGAAGGCCCAUGCUUUCUUUUCUGCAUUUAGUAGUUAUUGUCUGAUAAAGGUAAGGCCUGAACCUUGAAACGUGUGCCACGAGAAAAGUAAAGUUCUUCAAGAAAUGGGAGUUAAGGAGAAAGGAGGUGGCCUUGUAGCUAGGCUUUGGCAUUUAUCCUGUAUGUAGAGUUCCUUGGAAGAUUAGCUCUUUUAAAGUGGCAUUGAAUUGAUUGACACGCUCAUUAGUCAGAUCUGUCGUUUAUCUAUCUCCCCAGGUACAGUGAUGAGUUUGGUAAGAUUCAUCUCUCUCUCGUUCUCCCUUCCUUGCUCUCUCCUUCCUCUGUCCCCUCCCUCUGUCUCUGUAUUCUGUUUUCAUUAUAGAAAAUUUAAUAAAAGUCAGUAAUUAUCCUUCUCUUCACAUAUAAUUCUGACAUAAAUGUAUAUAACUACAUUUUAUUAGAGUGAAAUGAAAUAAUGCCUCUUGUUCAUAUAAUACAAUUAUACAUAUAAUACAAUCUUCUCAACACAAUUAGAGGUUAAUAUUACAUGUAGCUUUAAAUAUAGCUUCAACCAAUCAGUAAACACAGGAUAAGCCUUCAUAUAUAGUCUAGGUUUUCUCACGAGCAGUUAAAUUAUUCCCAACUAUCCCCAGACAGACUGAGAAAUAAUGGUCACUUAUUAUAUUUCAUUUUAUUAUGGCCUUGCUUCCUUAGGCCAUACCUACUUUUCCUUACAACCUGGCUUCCUCUAAUAUCAUGUAUGGAGCAAUGUAUGAUCCAGUGCACACAUACAAGUAAAUGAACAGACAGUAUGCUAAUAGACAGGCUACUGACAAGAGUGUUUGUUCAUGGUAAAUUUUAUUUCGUGAUGAAAAUCUGAUGCAUAGUAGAUUUCAUUGUUUAAACUUUUCAUGGGACCAUGGUUUUUUUUUUCCUACUAAACAGUUAUUUUAACAUAAUAAUAAAAUAGGAAAUGUUUAAGUUGUUUUUAACACUCUCCUAUCCCUAUCAUUUCUUCUUAUCACAGAAUUCCAACCAGGAGUGCCAUGGAAAGGUAUCCAAAAUAUUGACCCUGAAUCUGACCCCUAUGUCACCCCAGGAAGUGUGCUAGGGGGUACAACCACAUCUCCCAUUGUAGAUACUGACCACCAACUGCUGCGGGAUAACACCACAGGUAAGUGAGGGCUGCAGGCUGCAUGAAUACUACCCAGCAUUUUCAUAGUUAUUCGCCUGUGGCCUUGUUUCUAUUUGUAGUACCUGAUAAUUUAAGCAGAAAAUAGAAGCAUGUUUUUUUUUUAUAUAUGUGUAUUGUUUGGUUACAUUUUGUUUUUCCUUCCAUUUGAGUUUAAAUAAAAAUACUUGCCGGGCAUGGUGACACACACCUUUAAUCCUAGCACUUAGGAGGCAGAGGCAGGUGGAUUUCUGAGUUCGAGGCCAGCCUAGUCUACAAAGUGAUUUCCAGGACAGCCAGGGCUACACAGGGAAACCCUGUCUCGGGAAAAAAAAAAAAAAAAAACUUACAAAGUUUCCCUGGUUAUAUUGACAUUUGUCUCUAAUAUUUUCUUCCUCUUCCUCUUUUGUUAUAAGGGUCUAAUUCCUCCCUCAACACCUCGCUGCCUUCACCUGGUGCCUGGCCCUACAGUGCCUCUGACAACUCCUUUACCAACGUUCAUAGCACUUCAGGUACUCGGUGGCGUUUCCCCUCUUGCUUAGCAGUUGACUGUGAGGCUCCUCUUUAUUACCAGCAUUUACUUUCUAAGGGGCACCACUUAAGGAUGGGAAACACCUAAGUCAGCACAGAUGGACACACAACCUUUCUUUGCAUUCAGCAUCUACUCAGGGAGUUCCUGGACUCCCAGAGAUAGGAUAGGUAACACAGGACUAUAUUGGACCAAGGCCAAUGGGAAUAGAAUCUCUCAUAACUGCAGUUCUUCAGAGGGCAGAGCCCAUGACCUGAUGACCAAAUGUUUCUGUUAACUAGCCAGCCAAGAAACCAAGGGUUAUACAGAGAGCCAGUUCAACCCAUAUUAACAUUGAGGCAGCCCAUGGGAACUUACGGACCUAAAUCUGACCUAGAGACAUAAUGAAAGUAAAUGGCAGAGUAAAAAAGAGGACCUUGGUUAAUUUGCCAAUAGUACUUGUUGAGUUCCUAUGGUUGGUUGGCUGGUUGGUUUUUGCAUUUAUUUGCUUAUUGAGGCUUAAGAAGGAAUAGAAAAGUUAAUAGGAGCUAGAGGGAUGGUUCAGUGGGUAAAAUGCUAUGCAAACAUGGAGACUUGAGUUCAGUCCCCAUGCCC